Molecule: ribosomal RNA, 281 nt
Filed under: Triticum aestivum (bread wheat)
Lineage: Eukaryota; Viridiplantae; Streptophyta; Magnoliopsida; Poales; Poaceae
Description: partial small subunit ribosomal RNA
Source: RNAcentral
GCUCACUAGGUCUUCUCCCUUGCCUCCUCUUCUUUCUUGCUCGACACCCACACAGCCGCCACCAUGGGAGAAGAAAGAAAGCUCAGAUCUCCCCUUGCCUUCUGAUGUUUCUGAACAACUUGCCCAGACGAUUCUUGCUGGCAACUACCUUCUCCUUCGAUCCACCAAACCAACAGCAGCAGAUCUGCUAGAAAAAUGGAUAAUCCUCAAUUUCAUACCCAGAUCACAGAUCUGUCAGCAGGAAAAGCAAAACAAAGAAGAAAGAAACCUGGGGAUCAAAC